UCAAAAACAUCUCUCCCAGAGAAGGUUGGGAGUAGCCCCUGCCCAGUGAGGAUUAAAUGGCGGCGUUAAGCCUUAAAGUAGCAAAAUAAUUUGUCCUUUAAAUGGGGACCGGAAUGAAAGGGUUGACGUGGAUUAGCUGUCUCCAAAGAGAAACCAAAAAUUUUUCUCUUAGUGAAAAAGCUGAGAUGAGUUUAAAAGACGAGAAGACCCCGUCGAGCUUAGUUACCCUUCUAAGUAUUGGAGGGUGAGGUUUUAUUGGGGCAAUAGAGGAGUAGAAGCCUCCUUUUUUAAACAUAGAUCCUUCAUUGAGGAAAUAGGAAAAAGUUACCGCGGGGAUAACAGCGCAGGCAGCUAGAUAGCUCUUAUUGAAGGCUGAAUUUGCGACCUCGAUGUUGGAUUAGGGUUCCGGCUUGGCGAUAGCCGCUAAGCUAGGGGGACUGUUGUCCUGG
This 449-nucleotide ribosomal RNA is filed under the name Papyridea semisulcata. RNAcentral describes it as "partial 16S ribosomal RNA". It matches the Rfam family "Bacterial large subunit ribosomal RNA", at positions 1807 to 2589 of the family's 2925-position model. The record is from RNAcentral. Lineage: Eukaryota; Metazoa; Mollusca; Bivalvia; Cardiida; Cardiidae.